RNAcentral lists this signal recognition particle RNA (300 nucleotides) under Callithrix jacchus (white-tufted-ear marmoset). RNAcentral describes it as "Metazoan signal recognition particle RNA (ENSCJAG00000078427.1)". It matches the Rfam family "Metazoan signal recognition particle RNA". Rfam says of the family: The signal recognition particle (SRP) is a universally conserved ribonucleoprotein. It is involved in the co-translational targeting of proteins to membranes. The record is from Rfam by way of RNAcentral. Lineage: Eukaryota; Metazoa; Chordata; Mammalia; Primates; Cebidae.
GCCGGGCGCGGUGGGGCGUGCCUGUAGUCCCAGCUACUCGGGAGGCUGAGGUGGGAGGAUCGCUUGAGCCCAGGAGUUCUGGGCUGUAGUGCCCUAUGCCGAUCGGAUGUCCGCACUAAGUUCGGCAUCAAUAUGGUGACCUUCCGGGAGCAGGGGACCACCAGGUUGCCUAAGGAGGGGUGAACCGGCCCAGGUCGGAAACGGAGCAGGUCAAAACUCCCGUGCUGAUCAGUAGUGGGAUCGCACCUGUGAAUAGCCACUGCACUCCAGCCUGGGCAACAUAGCGAGACCCCGUCUCUA